UUUCCUUCUGAAAAACUGACUCAAGGAUAUUUUAUAAUAGGAAUGUUUUUGGGAGGCCAAGGCAGGCAGAUCACGAGAUCAAGAGAUUGAGACUAUUCUGGCCAACAUGGUGAAACCCUGUCUCUACUAAAAAUACAAAAAUUAGCUGGGCAUGGUGGCACGCACCUGUAGUCCCACCUACUUGGGAGGCUGAGACAGGAGAAUCACUUGAACCUGGGAGACGGAGGUUGCAGUGAGCCAAGAUCGUGCCACUGCACUCCAGCAUUGUGAAUAGCGAGACUCCAUCUCAAAAAAAAAAAAAAAAAGGAAUGUUUGCAUUGCUAUAAUUGAUGGAAAACCCUCGUAGGCCCUCUCUUGUCUUCCUGUCUUCAACUGCAUCUUCAGUAAAGUCUGCUAUUUUCACUUCUAUUUUGUUGUUGUUGUUUUAAUGAGGAAAUGGUUGCACCAAGAAGAUACCCAACAGAAUCUGGAUGCCCAGAAACAAGACCUAAGAUGACAUUUCCUACUCUGCCCCUUUGGAAGUUCACAGAAGUCUUAGCGUGGACCUUGAACCCUCAUCAGAUGUAGAAUUGCUGUUAGAAUCCCCUACAGCCUUGGCCAUCAGUGAUGGUGAAAGCAACAGAUGUCAGAUGUCAGCCCCUGGCUUCCUGCCUUACCGUAGAGGGAUACUCGACAGACAGACUGGACAGAUCACUCAUGCUGGGGAAAGCCAGGUGUCAUGUCUUGGGGAAUCCAGGUGUUAUGUCUUAAGGACAGGCUGGCAGACCUGUGCAUACGCCCAUGUAGCGAGAAACUAGACCCUCAGCUCAAGACACUGAAAGAAACCUCAUGAAACAACUUGAAGCUCUGACCCUGAACCACCUAGCUAAACUGCUCUUAGAUACCUGAUUCUCAGAUACUAUUGAGAAAAUAAACAAUAAUUAUUUUAUGUUGCUACAUUUUGGGAGUAAUUUGUUACAUGAUAAUAGCUACACGUUGAAGAGCAAAUUAUUCACGCUCUGUUUUUCAGUUUCCUCAUCUGCACAAUGGAGUACCGAUUUUAUGAUGUGGUUGUGAGGAUUUAAGAGAUCAUCCACAGAGAAGUGCAACAGAGUACAGGGUCAGAAGUCAGCACCCC
RNAcentral lists this long non-coding RNA (1117 nucleotides) under Homo sapiens (human). RNAcentral describes it as "HSALNT0251369". Lineage: Eukaryota; Metazoa; Chordata; Mammalia; Primates; Hominidae. The record is from RNAcentral.